Molecule: long non-coding RNA, 677 nt
Filed under: Androctonus crassicauda
Lineage: Eukaryota; Metazoa; Arthropoda; Arachnida; Scorpiones; Buthidae
Source: RNAcentral
AUAAACUUCACUGCUAAACCCUGUAUGUUCUAUGGGACAAUACAAAUGAUUUCAGCACAAUUUGCAGUACCCUAUAUAUAUAUCACUUUGAACAGAAAAGAUGGGACUUUUUCUCACUAAAAAGAAUACUAAGGCUGGUACCAAACAAGUUGAUUUCACUUUGCAUUCAUGCCUGGGAACAAUCUUGAGACAAGCUCUGGUUGCUGUUGUCACUAUUGUAUUCCUUCAAAAUCACAGUAUAUUGUCUUAUUGGGUGUGCCCAGUAAUAAAAUCCGUAACCACCAAGUUAGAUAUUUUGGGUGACAGACGUGCAGUCCAGACCAAGUGUGUGCAGGAAAAUUGAAGUAAUGGAUGACACUGAAAUUUGAAAUGAGAUAGUUGCUACUGAUUUGAUCUCAUUAUAAUGUCAAAAGCUUCAAUAUUUAUUUUUUCAACUCAUUUGCAAACAUCCAUCAACAAGCAAUAGAGUAUAAAUUCUCUUGCAACAAGCUAGCAAGUCAAGUACAUUUUUACUUUCUGUCAUUGCAGAUUUUAUUGACUCAUUUGGUACAAAUCUAAGAAAUCAAGUAUGUAAAAUAUAUAAUGAUACAUUCUAGAAUGGAUUUAUAAUUAAUCUACACCCUUGUGAGGGUUUAUAAUCAUUAAAAACCCAGAGGCAGUGUUAUCUGUAAUUUAAU